This is a long non-coding RNA of Xenia sp. Carnegie-2017, 354 nucleotides long. RefSeq lists it as uncharacterized. NCBI's taxonomy places the organism in Eukaryota, Metazoa, Cnidaria, Anthozoa, Malacalcyonacea, Xeniidae. The transcript is spliced from 3 exons. The record is from RefSeq and is a predicted model, not a curated record.
UUCGUUAUCGGAAAGCGAAGAUGAAUACAUUCACAGAAUUGGAAAUGUUGAAUGGUGCGAGUGUGGCUUUUGUGUGGUCAUGAGUACAGGACGGGAAAGUAUAUGUUGCCAAGAGGUAAACAACACUGAUCCUCUGAUACAUGGCGAUCAUAUUUGCAUCACACAAGAGGAAGAGUUUGCCACAGUAUGUACAAACGAAGCUGUCUUAAAAACAGCUAUGGUCGUGUACACACAUGACAUUGGACCUAUGCCUGAGAGUGAAGAAAACGAAGCAUUACGCUACACGGCGUACCGACAGUGGACGGCUUGGGUGCAUGGCAGGUUGGGAAAAAAGUACCGACUACCCAUACCUUC